RNAcentral lists this ribosomal RNA (1347 nucleotides) under Salmonella enterica. RNAcentral describes it as "partial 23S ribosomal RNA". It matches the Rfam family "Bacterial large subunit ribosomal RNA", at positions 1477 to 2802 of the family's 2925-position model. Lineage: Bacteria; Pseudomonadati; Pseudomonadota; Gammaproteobacteria; Enterobacterales; Enterobacteriaceae. The record is from RNAcentral.
GAAGGCUAUGUUGGCCGGGCGACGGUUGUCCCGGUUUAAGCGUGUAGGUGUGUGUUCCAGGUAAAUCCGGUUCACUUUAACACUGAGGCGUGACGACGAGGCACUACGGUGCUGAAGCAACAAAUGCCCUGCUUCCAGGAAAAGCCUCUAAGCAUCAGGUAACAUCAAAUCGUACCCCAAACCGACACAGGUGGUCAGGUAGAGAAUACCAAGGCGCUUGAGAGAACUCGGGUGAAGGAACUAGGCAAAAUGGUGCCGUAACUUCGGGAGAAGGCACGCUGACACGUAGGUGAAGUGAUUUACUCAUGGAGCUGAAGUCAGUCGAAGAUACCAGCUGGCUGCAACUGUUUAUUAAAAACACAGCACUGUGCAAACACGAAAGUGGACGUAUACGGUGUGACGCCUGCCCGGUGCCGGAAGGUUAAUUGAUGGGGUCAGCGCAAGCGAAGCUCCUGAUCGAAGCCCCGGUAAACGGCGGCCGUAACUAUAACGGUCCUAAGGUAGCGAAAUUCCUUGUCGGGUAAGUUCCGACCUGCACGAAUGGCGUAAUGAUGGCCAGGCUGUCUCCACCCGAGACUCAGUGAAAUUGAACUCGCUGUGAAGAUGCAGUGUACCCGCGGCAAGACGGAAAGACCCCGUGAACCUUUACUAUAGCUUGACACUGAACAUUGAGCCUUGAUGUGUAGGAUAGGUGGGAGGCUUUGAAGCGUGGACGCCAGUCUGCGUGGAGCCGACCUUGAAAUACCACCCUUUAAUGUUUGAUGUUCUAACGUGGACCCGUUACCCGGGUUGCGGACAGUGUCUGGUGGGUAGUUUGACUGGGGCGGUCUCCUCCUAAAGAGUAACGGAGGAGCACGAAGGUUGGCUAAUCCUGGUCGGACAUCAGGAGGUUAGUGCAAUGGCAUAAGCCAGCUUGACUGCGAGCGUGACGGCGCGAGCAGGUGCGAAAGCAGGUCAUAGUGAUCCGGUGGUUCUGAAUGGAAGGGCCAUCGCUCAACGGAUAAAAGGUACUCCGGGGAUAACAGGCUGAUACCGCCCAAGAGUUCAUAUCGACGGCGGUGUUUGGCACCUCGAUGUCGGCUCAUCACAUCCUGGGGCUGAAGUAGGUCCCAAGGGUAUGGCUGUUCGCCAUUUAAAGUGGUACGCGAGCUGGGUUUAGAACGUCGUGAGACAGUUCGGUCCCUAUCUGCCGUGGGCGCUGGAGAACUGAGGGGGGCUGCUCCUAGUACGAGAGGACCGGAGUGGACGCAUCACUGGUGUUCGGGUUGUCAUGCCAAUGGCACUGCCCGGUAGCUAAAUGCGGAAGAGAUAAGUGCUGAAAGCAUCUAAGCACGAAACUUGCCCCGA